Lepus europaeus (European hare) is the source of this 632-nucleotide long non-coding RNA. RefSeq lists it as uncharacterized. The transcript is spliced from 3 exons. Lineage: Eukaryota; Metazoa; Chordata; Mammalia; Lagomorpha; Leporidae. The record is from RefSeq and is a predicted model, not a curated record.
CCUAGAAGGGAAGCAGAGGGAAGGAAGCUCUCGCGGGCCAACUGUCACCGGGCAGGGCACAAAAGCAGGACCACACAGGACCAAGACUUGGAACCCCUAUCUCCUGACCGCAAGAAUGUGCUACACUCCCGAUGCUAAGGUGGUUGUGAAAUGCUAAGGAAUGCAGUUUCAGCUUUAAAAGAGUGCUUUGUUGAGUCUAACAAAUACUUGGAAUACUCUGUCAGCUUCUCUGUUACUGUCAACCUUCCAGCCGGAAAACUUCCAGAGUGACUCCUCUGACCCCGUGCCAAUCCUGAGCAGGGGGACCCUGACACAGCCUAGGGAUGCAGGGGUAGGCUGGAGGCAGUGUGGCCCAAUGGUGAGAGCGCCCGGGGGGCAGGGGUGCAUGUGUGCGGGCUGGUCUCGCACUCCAUGAAGAACAAGGUCUGUCUCCGUGCCUGGCACAGUGGACGCUGAGCAAGCAGGCCACCCUAGCCUUCCCCAGCCUGUGGACAGCGUGCAAAAGUGAAAUCUGCAGGCAAGGCCAAGGGGUGCUUUGGGAGACGGGAGAGACAAGGCCAAGGCCCGGAGCUAGACACAGAAAAAAUGUGCACGUUCGCUCAGACCUCCUUCCCAAGCGGCCCCAAAACUGC